Molecule: signal recognition particle RNA, 92 nt
Filed under: Alphaproteobacteria bacterium
Lineage: Bacteria; Pseudomonadati; Pseudomonadota; Alphaproteobacteria
Description: signal recognition particle sRNA small type
Rfam family: Bacterial small signal recognition particle RNA
About the family: The signal recognition particle (SRP) is a universally conserved ribonucleoprotein involved in the co-translational targeting of proteins to membranes.
Source: RNAcentral
AAUUGGCAAGUUGGACGCGAUACUUGAAAAAUCGGUCAGGUUGGAAACAAAGCAGCCGUAUUGAGUUUUCGUGGGUCAGCUUGUCAAUUAUU